Molecule: ribosomal RNA, 254 nt
Filed under: uncultured bacterium
Lineage: Bacteria
Description: partial 16S ribosomal RNA
Rfam family: Bacterial small subunit ribosomal RNA
Source: RNAcentral
UACAGAGGGUGCAAGCGUUGUUCGGAAUUACUGGGCGUAAAGCGCGCGCAGGCGGAUCCUGCAAGUCCGGAGUGAAAUCUCACUGCUCAACGGUGAGGCUGCUUUGGAUAUUGCGGAUCUGGAGACCGGUAGAGGCUGGUAGAAUUGCAGGUGUAGCGGUGGAAUGCGUAGAGAUCUGCAAGAAUACCCGUGGCGAAGGCGGCCAGCUGGGCCGGUUCUGACGCUGAGGCGCGAAAGCGUGGGGAGCAAACAGG